Molecule: long non-coding RNA, 284 nt
Filed under: Elaeis guineensis (African oil palm)
Lineage: Eukaryota; Viridiplantae; Streptophyta; Magnoliopsida; Arecales; Arecaceae
Description: long non-coding RNA (EGUI_LNC033592)
Source: RNAcentral
CUAUCAAAAGGGAAGGCAUCAUUAAUGCACUAGAGAUAAUUGAUAAUAUGUAGGUUCGAGAUGAUGAUAGUGAGACAUCCGAUCCUUAGAUUCCAGAUUGCCUAGAUCAUCUUGUGAUAAUAGUGAUGAUGAUAGUGAUGGCAAGAGUAAUGAUAAAUUUGAUGAUCAUGAUGAUCAGUCUAGAGGGAGUGGUGAAGCAUAUGAGAUCAGGUCUUUUAUUGAAGAAGCAUAUUUUAUCAUGUUAUACAGGAUCGGGACCAUAGAGCCAGAUGUAUAUCUAGAUA